CACUGUUGUAGUUUUUUUGUGUUGCUAGCGCGGUCAAGAGUGUUGGCUCUCACUGAGAGAUGACUACAAAAAUGGACGCACCUGUUCAUCUGGUUGUUAAACACGGCUGAAAAUGAUCAUCUUUUAAUGUUGUUCCCGCUCCUGCCCACUCCCGUUGCUUUUUUCCCGUCCCGUCCCGAUCAAGGGAUUAAUUAAAAAAUGACUCCCAUCCCGUGGGAUUCCCGCGGGAAUCACGUGACCCACGGGAAUUUCCGAAAAAUGUCAU
This is a non-coding RNA of Xyrichtys novacula (pearly razorfish), 265 nucleotides long. Lineage: Eukaryota; Metazoa; Chordata; Actinopteri; Labriformes; Labridae. The record is from the annotation of a GenBank genome assembly.